This 462-nucleotide long non-coding RNA is filed under the name Prunus dulcis (almond). RNAcentral describes it as "sRNA ncRNA". Lineage: Eukaryota; Viridiplantae; Streptophyta; Magnoliopsida; Rosales; Rosaceae. The record is from RNAcentral.
CUUUGGAGAAAAUUGAGACUGGUCAAUAAUUUUAAUUUUUAAUAUUUCUUUUAUUUUUCAAUUGCAUUCAUAUGACAUAUGCUUAUUUUCUCACUUUCAUUAUUUGUUUAAUGAUGUAGAAGUAUAUUCUAGUUCUCAAAUGAAAAAGCAAGUGAUUGCCAGUACAUCUUGAGUACAUAUUGAAUGGUAUAGUGACUAAUAACCUUCCUUUAUCUCAAAUAACAUGCCCAUGUACUUGAUAUUUAUUCUUAACUUUGUUUUUCUUUGGCUGUAGUACAUGAAUCAGAUUUGGAUUGAAGAUUACUAGGCCUUUUUGCUGCAGUUUUUGGUUUUUUGAAACGUUUAAACUAAUUUCCUUUUGUUUUGUAACAUUAUUUGCUAUUUUAUUAUGUAAUUUUCAUGUUCGUUUGUAACUAUAAAACUAAGUUCUUUGAUUUUGUACUUGGAUGAAUUAGACUAUUG